UGGACGUCUCGUCUGCGGCGGUAGAGGACGAUGAGUGGACGUCUCGUCUGCGGCGGUAGAGGACGAUGAGUGGACGUCUCGUCUGCGGCGGUAGAGGACGAUGAGUGGACGUCUCGUCUGCGGCGGUUUGGCUCUGAAGCUGGAAACACACCUGCUCCUAGUCAGAAGAAAUGGUUGGAUCUGUUUUAUAAGAGUGAGAAAUGUCCAGUGCAGGUCCACGACCAGUCGAAACUUUCCGGUGGACCACAGAAACGUCUUUGUGGAUUCCACCCUCCUAAAGUGUUCAUUUCAGACUUUCAGGUCGUAAGUGUUCCACCUGCUUUACUCCACUCCUACUGCUGUAGCGCC
Silurus meridionalis is the source of this 348-nucleotide long non-coding RNA. RefSeq lists it as uncharacterized. NCBI's taxonomy places the organism in Eukaryota, Metazoa, Chordata, Actinopteri, Siluriformes, Siluridae. The record is from RefSeq and is a predicted model, not a curated record. The transcript has 3 exons.